RNA transcript from Xenopus tropicalis (tropical clawed frog), 6094 nucleotides. It is a transcript of the gene named prominin 1, with no coding region annotated. Lineage: Eukaryota; Metazoa; Chordata; Amphibia; Anura; Pipidae. The record is from RefSeq and is marked validated. The transcript is spliced from 32 exons.
UGCUCCCAGAAGUAAGUGGCUGCUGCUAAGUGGCUGCUGGGAAGUGUAGCCAAGGGCUGUGUGUGUGCCAGGCUUGUAAGUCCUGCUGCACAUAGUGUGGGGCCCCUGAGAGCUGCCGGGUCAUGAAUCAUUCAUAGCGGCUGUGUGUGUGGCUGUGUGUGCGGCUGCAGCACUGCUGUGCGGGAGUGCGACUCCUGGGUGAGGUGAGGAUGCGGCAGACGCGCUCUCCUUGCUGCAGGAGAUACAGGAGCGGGCAGGGAUCUCAGGGAUGCGCCAAGGGGCCCCGCCAUCUGCUGCCACAGGAGGACGAGGUAGGAAAGUGAGCCCGAAUCCCCAGCACAGGCAGCCAGGGCUGGAGGGCGCACAGGGUGCCGCAGUGACCUAUAAGAUCCUGCCUGCUAAUUCCCUUCCCACCUCCAAGUGAGCAGAUUCUGGAGAACAGUCAGAGGGAUGAGGACAUCUGCUGCUACCUACAGAUCUCUCUAAAGGCACCAGCUCCACUGCUUUCAUCUCAGCCAAGCAUUUUCUUCUUUCUAAUGACCAGUCGAUGCUUUAGAAAUUGCUAAUGGCUUUCACUCUAUACUUGGUUUUUCUACUGUUCUGUGGAUGUACUGUAUCAGAAAGAACUCUGCCCUUGAACAGUGCCCCGGCACGGCUGGAUUUUGGUUAUGUGCCCACUGAAAGCUACGAGACGGAUGCGUACCAUGAACCUGGAGCUAUUGGGAUGUUAUUUCAAAUAGUGCAAGGAUUCCUAUACAUUGUGCAGCCGCAUGCCUUUCCCCAGGAUCUUGUGAGAAAGGUUGCCCAGCAGAAGUUUGGUGAAAUUCGUAAUGAUUACCAAAAGCCAGAAAAUGUGGUCCUCACUCUGCAGACAAUACACUAUGAAAUUGGCUUUAUCAUCGCAGCAGUACUUGGACUCCUGUUUUUGCUGCUGAUGCCGCUGGUGGGCCUGUGUUUCUGCAUGUGUCGCUGCUGUGACAACUGUGGUGGGGAGAUGCAUCAGAGGCAAAAGAAAAAUGGUGACUGCCAGAGGGGCUGCUAUGCCACUUUUCUCUUUGUAACCACCUUGCUGAUCAGUGUGGGUGUGAUCUGCGCAUAUGCUGCCAACCAGAACCUUACUAACCAGAUCAGAGGAUCAAAGAAACUGGUGCAAACCAACUUUAAAGACUUAAAGACCCUACUAAAUGACACUCCAAUGCAAAUCGAUUAUGUACUGAGCAAGUUCAAUGUUACAAAGGACAAAGCCCUAUCUGAAAUGAACAAUCUCGGACCUUUGCUUGGUGAGCGCGUCCAUGAGCGCCUUGGGAAAGAUGUCCGACCUGCUUUUGAUGCGGUACUUAACAUGGCAGGAGUCAAAGUGCAAAGGGCAAUUAAAGCUAUCAAAGAAACAAAGGAAGCAUUGGAGAAUGUAAGCGUGUCUGUGGAAGUGCUGCAGGAAGCCAUUGACAAGUUGAACAUAAACCUGACAGAGGCCAAGUUGCAGCUCACUAGUACACUCAGCGACCCCGCGUGUUCAGCCAACGUUGCCAUCAUUCCCUGCAAUAAAAUUGCCAAUUCGCUGAAUCAGCUGAACAUCAAUGCAAACUUCAGCAUGCUUCCUGAUCUAACUCACAAUCUUAUCAGAUUAAAUGAAGUCCUCCGAACAGAUCUUAGCAACUUGGUUCAAAAGGGCUAUGCGGCAUUUAAUCUUACUCCUGAAAUGGUACAAAACCAAACUCGAAAUAUUGAGGGAGCAGCCAUCCCUCAUAUGAAAAAUGUCAUGGAAUCCAUCGGGGCAAACAUUACCAGCUUUUCUAAAACAAUCCCUGUUCUUCAGAUCAUGUCCAAUAUAAGUAAUCAUAUUACUCAGAGUGAGACUUAUGUGCGGGAGUUUUACCCUGUGGUAGAACAAUAUGACUUCUACAGAUGGCUGGGCUCUCUUGUUCUCUGCUGUAUGGUGGCCCUCAUUGUUGUUUUCUACUACCUGGGAUUGCUGUGUGGCACCUGCGGGUAUGAUCAGCAAACAUCUCCCACAACAAGAGGCUGCAUCUCCAACACUGGGGGCAACUUUCUUAUGGCUGGUGUUGGAUUUAGCUUCAUCUUCUCUUGGAUACUCAUGCUCAUUGUGCUUGUUACCUUCCUCGCUGGAGGAAAUGUGGAAAAACUGGUUUGUGAGCCCUUUCAGGAGAGAGCCCUGUUCAAGGUUUUGGAUACACCCUACCUGAUAAAUUCCCAGUGGAAAAAUUACCUUUCUGGAGUUUUGUAUCAAAAUCCCAGUGUAAAUCUGACUUUUGAAAAGGUUUACAGUGACUGCAAAGAAAACAAGGGAAUUUUCACUGCACUUCAGAUCGACAAUCUAUUUAAUCUGAACGAAUUUCUAAACAUCAAUAUGUAUAUUGAUGAAAUUUCAUCAAGAAUCGAAACACUGAAUUUGGACUUGAGUAAUAUUAUUUUGCUGGAUGAAAAAGGAAAAAGAAAUUUAGAAGACUUUAGUUCUACGGGGAUUGAUGAAAUCGAUUUUGAUGCUUUCCUGUCAGAGGUAGCAAAAAGCAAUACAAAGGUAGAUCUCUUGGCAUUUGCUAAUGAAUUGGAAGAAAAUGCAGACUUGCUGCCAAAAGGAGCAUUAGGCAAUGCGUUAAAGGGACAUGCAAAUAGUAUACGGACGAUACAUAUUCAGCAGGUUGUGCCACUGGAGCAGUCAAUGAAAUAUGUCAAAGCUCGGACUACACUAAACCAAAGCAUUAAGCUGCUACAGAGGACGUCAUUUGAUAUUGAGGGGAAGGUACUGGAUGUUAUCACAGCUGUGGAGGCUGCUCAGAAUCUCAUAAACAACAACGCUUCUUCAGUCAUAAAACAGGAGUCCAAAAAGUUAAUGGAUGAAGUCAUUGGCUACUUCAUUCAGUAUGUCCAGUGGGUAAAGGAUUCAAUUGCCUUUGACGUAGCAGGCUGCAAGCCAGUUGCCAAUGUAAUAGACACCGCAGUAGAUGUGUUUCUGUGCAGCUAUAUAGUAGACUCUGUGAAUUCCUUUUGGUUUGGUUUGGGAGGAGCAACUGUGCUUUUAAUUCCAGCCAUCAUUUUCGCAAUCCGAUUAGCAAAAUUCUAUCGCAGAAUGGACACUGAAGAUGUUUAUGAUGAUGUUGAAACUGUUCCCAUGAAAAAUUUGGAAAAUGGUAAUAAUGGUUAUCAUAAUGAGUAUUUAUAUGGUAUUCACAAUCCCGUUAUGGCAAGCAUGUCUUCAUAUGACACACUGAAUAGGUUCCCUCGAGCCUCUGCCCCACCAAGACAUAUUGAUUGAUGGAAAUUACUGUAUCUGUAGAGUGUGAAGUGCCACUGAACAGUGGUAGAAGACACUGGAAAUACUGGUGCAGGGAUUAGAGAAGAUACAAUUGCAGCCUGCAUCACCUUAUCCCGAUGGAGCUUAGUGGAUAUAUUUGUGAAUUCACAUCCAUCUUAAACAAUUGCCCUGACCGGCAGAAGGGGGCAACAUGGAUAAAUGACUUUCAGAAAAUAACCACAUGACCCAUUUACUGCCAAAAAGUAAUACAAAACAAUGGGGUUUGAUGGGACAAAAUCAAAUGUUUACACCAGUACUAGUUUUUGUAUCAGGUAUUUUUGUACUAUAUUUACUGUUGAAUUAGGAACGUUGUUUUCGGUAUAUCUGUAAAAGGCACUGCGGCACAACAGUCAUAUUUGCACCAUUGCAGAAAGCUAAGAAGUUAGCUCUGGUCAGUCAGUCGCAAGGUAGUUGUUAGUAAAUCAGUCUGACCACUCUCCCAGUGUUACAGACAUAACAUGACAAGUUCGUGCACAGUGAUAGGUAAGUGGGCAUGGCUUACAACAAGUAGUUAAAGGUGAGUUUCUCCUGAUAUCUAGGUGUGGCUUGCUUUUACUGCUUACAAUUUACUAUUAAAAAAUGAAUUGUUAGUUGAUAGCAGGCUUAUCUCUAGGCAGAUGGAGCAAGGGGGUGGAGCCUGUUUUUAAAGAACAUACAGCCAGCAAUUUUGAAUUCAUAUCUGAACAUUUUAUGCAUUUCUAUCAUUUUCUAAAGAAAUAAAGCUGUGACAUAUUGCUUUCUGUAUUACAGCAGCUGCAGGAGCAUUUUCCUAUCCUUAUCUUUCAUCACUAUCGUCAGCUCACAGCUCUUCAUCAUUUUCCUGUUCCUUUUAUUGCUUAGCACUAAAAUCAUAAUACUGGCAAUGUUACCAGUUGUUUGCCAGUUGUUUCUGCCCAGCUCGAUACUGGUUUUUGUGCAUUCCAUGUGUACUGACUCACUAAAAAUCUUAGUUUAUUUAAACACAAAAAUCAUACAAAUACUGUGACAUAUGGCACCUACACCUUCCAUGGGGCAAUCACACAAAUUUGUCCGUGUCACAUUAUUCUGAGUUAAUACAAGUACAGCAUUGGACAUGUUAUCCUCUUUCUCAUUGUCAUUAGUUCUCUAUAUUAGAAGCAGGUGUGUGGCGGGGGCCGAAGGUCACCUGUGAUAUUACAGGUCCCAAAAAUAUAUUUUUGCAGUGGACCUGGGCCCCUGAAGUUCCACCUUGUAUUAACAUUGUAGGUGCAACUUUUUGUAUUGUCACAUUUGGGAUCCAUGACUGUAUGAGUACCAGAGAGGUGAGGUGAUAUAUAAUAAAUAACUGAGAAUGGCCAACUACAGCUGUCAACUACAAACUGUCGGUGGGAUGCUGGAGGUAGGAGUUCACUGCUUGCUCCCCAUCCGGCUCAGUCUAGUGACCUUUCCCAUGUACGCCCAGCUUUGCAGUCUCUUCAUCAGCCAUAUUACAAUCCUGGAAUUGAAAUGGAAUUGUGAUUUACCCAGCAAAGACAUCUAAGAAGUGUUAAAAGUUUAAGUUUAAGUGUUUACCAUUUUUUGACCAAAACAACAUGUCACUAAAACCAAUGUAUCAGUGGCUGGCAUAAUACUACUCAGCCCUGUGCUGCCUCAGACUAUGGAGACAUGCUACCAUUAUGUAUUUAGUUUCCUUUCAGAUAGAUUGCUUCUCUUGUAUAUGCACUGACUGUAAUAGAAUAGCACUGUGCAGACUGUGAAUUACUCAAGCAAGGUGCUAUCCCCAUGUAUAAAUACGCCAGCUUAUGACAUUCUCUGUCAUUUAUUUCCCCUUUAGCAGACCUUGAAGCAUGAAGUUACAUCAUACUGCUUGCACGGAAUGUUUAUUUUGCUACGUAUCUCAAAUAAAAAUGGUAGUUUUAUGUUUAUGUUACGCACCUUCUGUCCGAUGCAGCUUGCUCCAUUAUCGCUGUGAUACAGAAUAUCAUCUCUGAAUGGCAAGUAAAGGCUAAUUCACUGGGGACUGCUUAUAUAUAAGGUAACCCCCAGUGAACUAACUGGCUUGAAGCUUUUCCCUUUUCAUAAAAAAAGCACCAUUUUAGAGACAACUAUAAGGAAGCACUAAGCCCUGUUGUUACCUCUCGUCCCAGGGAGCCCUUGUGUAGGCUUCGCAUCUGCACACACAGUACAGUUAUAGGACCUGUUAUCCAGAAUGCUUGAGGCCUGGGGUUUUUUAGCAUACUGUGUAUGAGUGUAUGAUCUGAAGCCAAUGCAAGGAUUAGUGCUGACAUCCCCAGGCCGGUGCAUCUUGUCCAAAACAGAGUUGUGUUCUCAAUGGAGCAAGCAAUAUGGCAUACACGGUGACUGACAUAGCAACCUAGCAGAGGUUACCAAAAUUAAAUAACCUGCAGGAAAGGAAACUGAACCAUCCUCGUUUUAAAGGAAUUUAGUUCUACUCUUUCUGCUUCCCAUUGGAUUGUGACCCUAGGGGCUUAGUGUUUCUCAGUCGCUGUGUGCCAGCCAGGAGCCACUUCAUUAGCAGAUAUCCAAAGCUUUGUACCUUUGUCAAACAGGACCAGCAAAUAUACCCCAUGUUUUUGCUUCUACACGUUAUUUUCUGUAAUGUACUGAGAAUAGCUGCACUGUACCGACUCCUGAAUACUUCCCUACGGGCGAGACUGCUUCUGUUUGGCAGGAGUCACGGCAUAGCUCCGCAGGAAUAACUUGUAUAUAAACAUUUGGAUUCGUAGCUUUAAUAAAAUGUUCUAUUUUUAAUGUCAUAUGAAGUGGAUGGUGAAAUCCAGUAAAUAAAAACAACUUGGUACA